Molecule: ribosomal RNA, 406 nt
Filed under: uncultured bacterium
Lineage: Bacteria
Description: partial 16S ribosomal RNA
Rfam family: Bacterial small subunit ribosomal RNA
Source: RNAcentral
AUUGAACGCUGGCGGCAGGCCUAACACAUGCAAGUCGAACGCGUGGCGGACGGGUGAGUAAUGUCUGGGAAACUGCCCGAUGGCGGGGGAUACCUACUGGAAACGGUAGCUAAUACCGCAUACCAUCGGAUUUGCCCAGAUGGGAUUGGCUAGUAGGUGGGGUAACGGCUCACCUAGGCGACGAUCCCUAGCUGGUCUGAGAGGAUGACCAGCCACACGGGAACUGAGACACGGUCCAGACUCCUACGGGAGGCAGCAGUGGGGAAUAUUGCACAAUGGGCGAAAGCCUGAUGCAGCCAUGCCGCGUGUAUGAAGAAGGCCUUCGGGUUGUAAAGUACUUUCAGCGGGGAGGCGUUACUCGCAGAGGAAGCAACGGCUAACUCCGUGCCAGCAGCCGCGGUAAUAC